CGAAAUCCCUCCAACGCCAGGCGAGAAAGUGCGAGAAAGAGGAGAAAGGCGAGAAACUCAAGGUCAAGAAAGCGAUCGAGAAGGGCAACAUGGACGGAGCCCGUAUCUACGCCGAGAACGCCAUCCGCAAACGCACCGAGCAGAUGAACUACCUCCGCCUCUCCUCACGCCUCGACGCCGUCGUCGCCCGCCUCGACACACAGGCCAAGAUGACCACCAUCAGCAAGUCCAUGGGCUCCAUCGUCAAGUCUCUCGAAUCUACUCUUGCCACCGGCAAUUUGCAGAAGAUGUCCGAGACGAUGGACCAGUUCGAGAAGCAAUUCGUCAACAUGGAGGUUCA
RNAcentral lists this long non-coding RNA (340 nucleotides) under Vitis vinifera (wine grape). RNAcentral describes it as "long non-coding RNA (VVIN_LNC002738)". The record is from RNAcentral. Lineage: Eukaryota; Viridiplantae; Streptophyta; Magnoliopsida; Vitales; Vitaceae.